Long non-coding RNA from Medicago truncatula (barrel medic), 1409 nucleotides. RefSeq lists it as uncharacterized. The record is from RefSeq and is a predicted model, not a curated record. The transcript is spliced from 3 exons. Lineage: Eukaryota; Viridiplantae; Streptophyta; Magnoliopsida; Fabales; Fabaceae.
UCUUCUCUCACUUUCCAUAUUCUUCUUCUUGAUUCUAGAACAUUUUCUUCUCCCUUCUCCCUCUAAGAAUUCGGUUCCCUCCCUAUACUAUCUUAACCACCAAAACUUCAUCAAAUUACCAUGCAUUCACUACAUGAAUGGUACACAUAAGUUUCUAGAGGUGGUUUAAGCAAGAAAAACACUUCAAAACUUUUCACUCCCUUCUUAAUUCCUCAAAACCGCCCCCUCCUUCAACUUUCCAAUUCUUCAUUUCUCUUUCAAAUUUCAUGGGAAACCACAUAUAAGCUUGCUUUAGGGGACUCAAGAGUGGUAUGAUUACAAGGGACUGGAAUGAAUUUUUUUGUAUAUGCUGGUUGAUGAAGUAAGAGUAUGUCACAAAUGAGUUGAGUUGUUUCGGAAAGAGCAAGACCUAUAAGCCAAGACAUAAGCUAUUUUGGAAAAUGGACUAUGGAGUUUUGGAGCUAGAAAAAGCUGCAAAUUGUGGAUAAGCUGCUUGUAAUUUCGGGACUAAUGCCAAGAUAUACAAGUUAUUAUACGACAAGAUGGUUUGUGAUGAAGAAGAAGUAGCUUGACCAUAUAGAGUACACGUCAGUGGAACUAUUUUGGAGGUAAUAGGCAAGAAAUUCUAUGAUUUGUUCAGAGAAUAUCUAUUUAUUGUAAUUUUAAUGUAUCCGACGCCAAGUUUAACACACAUGCUAGAUAUCCUAGGUGAUUUCUAGUAGGGGUGUUUCAGUUUUGUAUGGCUCAUAGUUCGCUGAUAAAUGGAAAAGUCACUCGCUGUUGCCCCCAACAACCACAGGGUAAGGCAGAAUACAUUCCAGCAGCUCUUUCUCUAUAGAAGACAGAUCUUUCAACAGCUACCACGGGUUGUACAGACGAUGAAUUCUGGACCCCAAGGAAGAGAACAGCAGUAUACAUCGAACCGAGGGCAUUAAACAGAUCUUGUCUAUUUGAGCUGGAAAUCAACAAAAGAAGUUAACAUUCAAGUUGGAAAGAAAAUCGGACUAACUAUAAUAUUUCUUAUUUUUCACAUAAUGAAGUUUCACUUACUAUUUCCUUCCAAGGUUCCAGAACAUUGUUCCAAACAUCAAUGCUAUGAAAGUAGUGAAGAAAAACCUCACAGCAGUGUAUGGCGGAUUGCGCCAGUAUGACCAAUGUUGUUUCCAUAGGCAAGCCAAGCAUUGGAUCCAAAAUGAUUGUGAGUAUUGGGCGGAGAAAUGAAGAUCCUUAGAACCAGGAGCAGGUUUGCCUAAUUCUACUAUAAGUUGCUUGUUUCUCCUAAAGAAUAGUUUAUAUCAGUGUAAGUAUAUAUUGUUACAAUAUUAUUAUUUAUACUAUAAGUUCUUAAAUUAGCUUACCUGUACAACUCAGAAUUUUUGUAUAUAUCAUGAAAAUCAACACCUAAAGUA